CUUCCCAUUUAAUUGCUGCCAUGCUGUCUCAGUAGUAUGAGCAGUUAUACGCAUGGGAUAAAGUAAUCAGUCCACUGUAGGUUUGUGAUGGAGCAAGCAAUGUUUCACCUUUACAAGUGGGUCUGGACACUU
Molecule: small nucleolar RNA, 132 nt
Filed under: Sphenodon punctatus (tuatara)
Lineage: Eukaryota; Metazoa; Chordata; Lepidosauria; Sphenodontia; Sphenodontidae
Description: Small nucleolar RNA SNORA20 (ENSSPUG00000004774.1)
Source: RNAcentral